GUGCUAUCUUCAAUAUCACAUAUACUAAAAUUGGAAUAACACAGAGAAGACUAGCAUGGCCUCCAUGACAUUUGUGAAAUGUUCUCUACUUUU
This 93-nucleotide small nuclear RNA is filed under the name Notamacropus eugenii (tammar wallaby). The record is from RNAcentral. Lineage: Eukaryota; Metazoa; Chordata; Mammalia; Diprotodontia; Macropodidae.